Molecule: long non-coding RNA, 1116 nt
Filed under: Papio anubis (olive baboon)
Lineage: Eukaryota; Metazoa; Chordata; Mammalia; Primates; Cercopithecidae
Description: lncRNA (ENSPANG00000046391.1)
Source: RNAcentral
UGCAGAGGCUGAGGGGCAUCUCCCCUCUGGCCCCUCUGCCUCCAAAUUAAGAAGUUUUGUUUUGGUUUCAUUUCAACAGGGAGAGAGAAGAAAGAACUGCCUGACCCAUGCUCCACUUCCAGGACAGAGACAGCUCAGAGCCCUCUCCGGUAGCUCUCUGAAUGCUGCCAGCAGUCCCAAGAGAUAGAGAAGAGGUCAAUUGCAACAGCCCUAUGAGAGCAAUUGCACAAUUUACUACAAGGCCACAGGGCAGGGGAUGAGAUGAUUCUGGCCAUGCAGGGCAAUGGAUAAAAUGCCGGCCAGGCCUCUGGUCACCACUGUGCCACCAACUCACUUUAUAACCGAAGGCAAAGUAUCAGACCUCUUUAAGCCUUCAUUUCUCUGUCUGUCAAAGUAGGACAUGUAGUCUUUUGCAGAACAAAAAACUAUCAGAUAGUACCAGAUACCCGAAAGUAUUAGAUAAUACCAGGGUAUUAUCUAACCCAACCUGUUUAUUUGAUAUGCUUGGUAACUGAGUACUGGAGACGGGGAGUGUCUUGCCCAGUGUUACAUGGCUGUAAAUAGCAGGGUCACUUCGAGAAGACAAGACCUCUCUUGCAUACUGAAGUGCUGCUUUCUAUUUUAGAUGCUCUCCAGGGUUCUCCCGGGCUCCAGGAGUCUGCUGUUCUAAAGACAUCACCCUCUAUCAGCUCUGGCUGCCGUCUUUGGACAUGGUCUUGUGUCAGUCACCAUAUGUUUCUUUUGGGACUCUUGGGGACAUAUAAUGUCCAGCUACUUCCCUCAUUACAGAGUUCUUCAAUGUCAUGGAAGGUCAUCCAAAUGGUCUCAGCAAAGCUUCGGGUCCUGGCAACCAAUGAUCUAUAUUCAAGGCCAGUAUUUUUUCCUUUCCUGAAACAUCAUAAAAAUGGCAUCAUAGAGUAGGUAACUUUUUGAGUAUAGUUUCCUGCACUUAACAUAAUGCAUUGAACAUUUAUCCAUUUUGUUAUGUGUAUCAGUAGAUCAUUGCUUUUUAUUGUUGAGAAGAAACUGGUUGUAUUCAUUUUCUAGUUUGUUUAACCACUCACCAAUUAACAGACAUUUGGGUUAUUUCUAGUUUUGGUCAAUUAUGAAUAAAAU